UACAGAGGUCUCAAGCGUUGUUCGGAUUCAUUGGGCGUAAAGGGUGUGUAGGUGGCGCCGUAAGUCGGGUGUGAAAUUUCGAGGCUUAACCUCGAAACUGCAUUCGAUACUGCGGUGCUUGAGGACUGGAGAGGAGACUGGAAUUCAUGGUGUAGCAGUGAAAUGCGUAGAUAUCAUGAGGAAGACCAGUGGCGAAGGCGGGUCUCUGGACAGUUCCUGACGCUGAGGCACGAAGGCCAGGGGAGCAAACGGG
RNAcentral lists this ribosomal RNA (253 nucleotides) under uncultured bacterium. RNAcentral describes it as "partial 16S ribosomal RNA". It matches the Rfam family "Bacterial small subunit ribosomal RNA", at positions 524 to 776 of the family's 1533-position model. The record is from RNAcentral.